GAUGAAGAACGUAGCGAAAUGCGAUAAGUAGUGUGAAUUGCAGAAUUCAGUGAAUCAUCGAAUCUUUGAACGCACAUUGCGCCUCCUGGUAUUCCGGGAGGCAUGCCUGUUCGAGCGUCAUUAAAAUCACUCAAGCUUAGGUUUACCUAUUGCUUGGUCUUGGAGAUGGAAGCCAAUUUAUUGGAAUCCUCUUCGAAAUUCAAUGGCGAAGACCCUUGCUCUCCCAAGUGUAGUAAUAACUUAUGUCACUGAAGGAAGCGAGAAAUCUUCUGCCGUAACCCCCAUAUUUUCUAUGAUUGACCUCGGAUCAGGUAGGGAUACCCGCUGAACUUAAGCAUAUCAUAAGCGGAGG
RNAcentral lists this unclassified non-coding RNA (352 nucleotides) under soil metagenome. RNAcentral's name for it is "partial contains 5.8S ribosomal RNA, internal transcribed spacer 2, and large subunit ribosomal RNA". The stretch from base 1 to 120 matches the Rfam family "5.8S ribosomal RNA", at positions 35 to 154 of the family's 154-position model. The record is from RNAcentral.